This 2921-nucleotide ribosomal RNA is filed under the name Bacillus tropicus. RNAcentral describes it as "23S ribosomal RNA". It matches the Rfam family "Bacterial large subunit ribosomal RNA". The record is from RNAcentral. Lineage: Bacteria; Bacillati; Bacillota; Bacilli; Caryophanales; Bacillaceae.
GGUUAAGUUAGAAAGGGCGCACGGUGGAUGCCUUGACACUAGGAGUCGAUGAAGGACGGGACUAACGCCGAUAUGCUUCGGGGAGCUGUAAGUAAGCUUUGAUCCGAAGAUUUCCGAAUGGGGAAACCCACCAUACGUAAUGGUAUGGUAUCCUUAUCUGAAUACAUAGGGUAAGGAAGACAGACCCAGGGAACUGAAACAUCUAAGUACCUGGAGGAAGAGAAAGCAAAUGCGAUUUCCUGAGUAGCGGCGAGCGAAACGGAACAUAGCCCAAACCAAGAGGCUUGCCUCUUGGGGUUGUAGGACAUUCUAUACGGAGUUACAAAGGAACGAGGUAGACGAAGCGACCUGGAAAGGUCCGUCGUAGAGGGUAACAACCCCGUAGUCGAAACUUCGUUCUCUCUUGAAUGUAUCCUGAGUACGGCGGAACACGUGAAAUUCCGUCGGAAUCUGGGAGGACCAUCUCCCAAGGCUAAAUACUCCCUAGUGAUCGAUAGUGAACCAGUACCGUGAGGGAAAGGUGAAAAGCACCCCGGAAGGGGAGUGAAAGAGAUCCUGAAACCGUGUGCCUACAAAUAGUCAGAGCCCGUUAACGGGUGAUGGCGUGCCUUUUGUAGAAUGAACCGGCGAGUUACGAUCCCGUGCGAGGUUAAGCUGAAGAGGCGGAGCCGCAGCGAAAGCGAGUCUGAAUAGGGCGUUUAGUACGUGGUCGUAGACCCGAAACCAGGUGAUCUACCCAUGUCCAGGGUGAAGUUCAGGUAACACUGAAUGGAGGCCCGAACCCACGCACGUUGAAAAGUGCGGGGAUGAGGUGUGGGUAGCGGAGAAAUUCCAAUCGAACCUGGAGAUAGCUGGUUCUCCCCGAAAUAGCUUUAGGGCUAGCCUUAAGUGUAAGAGUCUUGGAGGUAGAGCACUGAUUGGACUAGGGGUCCUCAUCGGAUUACCGAAUUCAGUCAAACUCCGAAUGCCAAUGACUUAUCCUUAGGAGUCAGACUGCGAGUGAUAAGAUCCGUAGUCAAAAGGGAAACAGCCCAGACCGCCAGCUAAGGUCCCAAAGUGUGUAUUAAGUGGAAAAGGAUGUGGAGUUGCUUAGACAACUAGGAUGUUGGCUUAGAAGCAGCCACCAUUUAAAGAGUGCGUAAUAGCUCACUAGUCGAGUGACUCUGCGCCGAAAAUGUACCGGGGCUAAAUACACCACCGAAGCUGCGGAUUGAUACCAAUGGUAUCAGUGGUAGGGGAGCGUUCUAAGGACAGUGAAGUCAGACCGGAAGGACUGGUGGAGUGCUUAGAAGUGAGAAUGCCGGUAUGAGUAGCGAAAGACGGGUGAGAAUCCCGUCCACCGAAUGCCUAAGGUUUCCUGAGGAAGGCUCGUCCGCUCAGGGUUAGUCAGGACCUAAGCCGAGGCCGACAGGCGUAGGCGAUGGACAACAGGUUGAUAUUCCUGUACCACCUCUUUAUCGUUUGAGCAAUGGAGGGACGCAGAAGGAUAGAAGAAGCGUGCGAUUGGUUGUGCACGUCCAAGCAGUUAGGCUGAUAAGUAGGCAAAUCCGCUUAUCGUGAAGGCUGAGCUGUGAUGGGGAAGCUCCUUAUGGAGCGAAGUCUUUGAUUCCCCGCUGCCAAGAAAAGCUUCUAGCGAGAUAAAAGGUGCCUGUACCGCAAACCGACACAGGUAGGCGAGGAGAGAAUCCUAAGGUGUGCGAGAGAACUCUGGUUAAGGAACUCGGCAAAAUGACCCCGUAACUUCGGGAGAAGGGGUGCUUUCUUAACGGAAAGCCGCAGUGAAUAGGCCCAAGCGACUGUUUAGCAAAAACACAGCUCUCUGCGAAGCCGUAAGGCGAAGUAUAGGGGGUGACACCUGCCCGGUGCUGGAAGGUUAAGGAGAGGGGUUAGCGUAAGCGAAGCUCUGAACUGAAGCCCCAGUAAACGGCGGCCGUAACUAUAACGGUCCUAAGGUAGCGAAAUUCCUUGUCGGGUAAGUUCCGACCCGCACGAAAGGUGUAACGAUUUGGGCACUGUCUCAACCAGAGACUCGGUGAAAUUAUAGUACCUGUGAAGAUGCAGGUUACCCGCGACAGGACGGAAAGACCCCGUGGAGCUUUACUGUAGCCUGAUAUUGAAUUUUGGUACAGUUUGUACAGGAUAGGCGGGAGCCUUUGAAACCGGAGCGCUAGCUUCGGUGGAGGCGCUGGUGGGAUACCGCCCUGACUGUAUUGAAAUUCUAACCUACGGGUCUUAUCGACCCGGGAGACAGUGUCAGGUGGGCAGUUUGACUGGGGCGGUCGCCUCCUAAAGUGUAACGGAGGCGCCCAAAGGUUCCCUCAGAAUGGUUGGAAAUCAUUCGUAGAGUGCAAAGGCAUAAGGGAGCUUGACUGCGAGACCUACAAGUCGAGCAGGGACGAAAGUCGGGCUUAGUGAUCCGGUGGUUCCGCAUGGAAGGGCCAUCGCUCAACGGAUAAAAGCUACCCCGGGGAUAACAGGCUUAUCUCCCCAAGAGUCCACAUCGACGGGGAGGUUUGGCACCUCGAUGUCGGCUCAUCGCAUCCUGGGGCUGUAGUCGGUCCCAAGGGUUGGGCUGUUCGCCCAUUAAAGCGGUACGCGAGCUGGGUUCAGAACGUCGUGAGACAGUUCGGUCCCUAUCCGUCGUGGGCGUAGGAAAUUUGAGAGGAGCUGUCCUUAGUACGAGAGGACCGGGAUGGACGCACCGCUGGUGUACCAGUUGUUCUGCCAAGGGCAUAGCUGGGUAGCUAUGUGCGGAAGGGAUAAGUGCUGAAAGCAUCUAAGCAUGAAGCCCCCCUCAAGAUGAGAUUUCCCAUAGCGUAAGCUAGUAAGAUCCCUGAAAGAUGAUCAGGUUGAUAGGUUCGAGGUGGAAGCAUGGUGACAUGUGGAGCUGACGAAUACUAAUAGAUCGAGGACUUAACCAU